Molecule: non-coding RNA, 93 nt
Organism: Styela clava
Lineage: Eukaryota; Metazoa; Chordata; Ascidiacea; Stolidobranchia; Styelidae
Source: the annotation of a RefSeq genome assembly
GGGGAUAUAGCUCAGUGGUAGAGCAAAAAAAAAAAAAAAAAAAGCAUUCGACUGCAGUUCGAGAGGUCCCUGGUUCAAAUCCGGGUGUCCCCU